This 342-nucleotide long non-coding RNA is filed under the name Nicotiana benthamiana. Its description in RNAcentral is "long non-coding RNA (NBEN_LNC027396)". Lineage: Eukaryota; Viridiplantae; Streptophyta; Magnoliopsida; Solanales; Solanaceae. The record is from RNAcentral.
AGGGAUAAGGAAAGCAGGGCGCAAGAUCGGAUGUAGCUUUCUGGAUCUCCCCUAACCCACACUAGGGCCUUGACUUCGGUUCCAGUUCCAGAGAUGGGUUCUGUGGCGAACUCGAGUUGAAGAAGUAAAAGCCUCAAGCUUUUAGCUUGAAACAAGAAUGGAUAGAGUUGACUCAAAAGAAAGCGUGGAGCGAGGCCUUUCUAAGGUGGGACGGUUAGCUUUCAACUCAAUUCUGUUGCAGCGGCAUUAGGAGUUAGUUGCUUGCAGAGAUAACCAAAAAUCUAUGGCAUUCAAUAUCCCAGAAGGGAACCCACCUUUGAAGUGAAAUUCCCUGUUGUUUUU